GAUGAACGCUAGCGGCAGGCUUAACACAUGCAAGUCGAGGGGCAGCAUGACGAAACCUUCGGGUUUUGUUGAUGGCGACCGGCGCAAGGGUGCGUAACGCGUGAGCAACUUGCCCUUAUCAGGGGGAUAACCGGUGGAAACGCCGACUAAUACCCCAUAGUAUUGGCUUUAGGCAUCUUUAGUCAAUUAAAGAAUUUCGGAUAAGGAUAGGCUCGCGUGACAUUAGCUAGACGGCGGGGUAACGGCCCACCGUGGCGACGAUGUCUAGGGGUUCUGAGAGGAAGGUCCCCCACACUGGAACUGAGACACGGUCCAGACUCCUACGGGAGGCAGCAGUGAGGAAUAUUGGUCAAUGGUCUGACGACUGAACCAGCCAAGUCGCGUGAAGGAUGAAGGUUCUAUGGAUUGUAAACUUCUUUUGUCUGAGGGUAAAAAAGCGGACGUGUCCGUUCUUGCAAGUAUCAGACGAAUAAGCAUCGGCUAACUCCGUG
RNAcentral lists this ribosomal RNA (491 nucleotides) under uncultured bacterium. Its description in RNAcentral is "bacterial SSU rRNA". It matches the Rfam family "Bacterial small subunit ribosomal RNA", at positions 28 to 507 of the family's 1533-position model. The record is from RNAcentral.